UACGAAGGGUGCUAGCGUUGUUCGGAAUCACUGGGCGUAAAGCGCGCGUAGGCGGCGCUACAAGUCAGGGGUGAAAUCCCAGAGCUCAACUCUGGAAUUGCCUUUGAAACUGUAGUGCUAGAGUGUCGGAGGGGAUAGCGGAAUUGCUAAUGUAGAGGUGAAAUUCGUAGAUAUUAGCAGGAACACCGGUGGCGAAGGCGGCUAUCUGGACGACAACUGACGAUGAGGCGCGAAAGCGUGGGGAUCAAACAGG
RNAcentral lists this ribosomal RNA (253 nucleotides) under uncultured bacterium. Its description in RNAcentral is "partial 16S ribosomal RNA". It matches the Rfam family "Bacterial small subunit ribosomal RNA", at positions 524 to 776 of the family's 1533-position model. The record is from RNAcentral.